RNAcentral lists this ribosomal RNA (464 nucleotides) under Vreelandella stevensii. RNAcentral's name for it is "partial 16S ribosomal RNA". It matches the Rfam family "Bacterial small subunit ribosomal RNA", at positions 338 to 795 of the family's 1533-position model. The record is from RNAcentral. Lineage: Bacteria; Pseudomonadati; Pseudomonadota; Gammaproteobacteria; Oceanospirillales; Halomonadaceae.
CCUACGGGGGGCUGCAGUGGGGAAUAUUGGACAAUGGGGGCAACCCUGAUCCAGCCAUGCCGCGUGUGUGAAGAAGGCCCUCGGGUUGUAAAGCACUUUCAGUGAGGAAGAACGCCUGGUGGUUAAUACCCAUCAGGAAAGACAUCACUCACAGAAGAAGCACCGGCUAACUCCGUGCCAGCAGCCGCGGUAAUACGGAGGGUGCGAGCGUUAAUCGGAAUUACUGGGCGUAAAGCGCGCGUAGGUGGCUUGAUAAGCCGGUUGUGAAAGCCCCGGGCUCAACCUGGGAACGGCAUCCGGAACUGUCAAGCUAGAGUGUAGGAGAGGAAGGUAGAAUUCCCGGUGUAGCGGUGAAAUGCGUAGAGAUCGGGAGGAAUACCAGUGGCGAAGGCGGCCUUCUGGACUGACACUGACACUGAGGUGCGAAAGCGUGGGUAGCAAACAGGAUUAGAUACCCGGUAGUC